This is a long non-coding RNA of Ostrea edulis (European flat oyster), 2200 nucleotides long. RefSeq lists it as uncharacterized. The transcript is spliced from 2 exons. The record is from RefSeq and is a predicted model, not a curated record. Lineage: Eukaryota; Metazoa; Mollusca; Bivalvia; Ostreida; Ostreidae.
UACUGAAAAUUUCGAUGAUAAAAGUGAUAAAUCUGCGUGAACUGUUUGGGUUUUUUUCUUUUUGAAAUAUAAUCUUUGCAGUUAAUGUACUCUGUAUACUAAGAAUUCAUAUUGAUUUUGGAUAGAAUUUCACAAAAAGAAAUGCGCCAGGUCCUUAGGAAUCAACCCCCCUACCCCACCCCCCACACGGCACAUUUUUUGGAUGAUUGGAACGUAUACCCCUUUACAUCUGUCUCCCUACUUUGAAGUUUUUUCCAACGCCAUGACAUAAAUAAUAAAUAGAUAAAUAAAUAAAAAUGCAAAAAUAAAAAAGAAAGAUGUAUAUGUAUUCGGAUUGGCAUGUUCCACUUUGUCCGGGUUGAAAUCCCUGAGGAUGCAAAUGUACAUUACGCCGCACUGCUUGCAGUACGCACAUGGUACAGGCGUACCACAUAGGUAUGUAACUACUAAGACUAUAAACCAAACAGAAUAUGAUAUGUAAAACUAUUACUCUGAAUGCAUUUUACUUGUUUACAAUGUAGCCUGUCGGGCUGUGGUGUCACACGCGUGGUUUACACGUGCACUUUAGGUGGCAGUGGAGGAAAUUCGAACGAUGUAUGGAUUAUUGUCUCCUGGUAACUUUGGCAGUUACCUUUUGCUUUCAAUCUACUUUUUAAGAAUAAUUCAACCCUCGCUAAUCAUUUCCAAGCUGCAUUUCGAUCUUGGAAGAAUGAUCUUCAGCUACAAUACAAAAUUAAGGGAUGAUGUUGUAUACUGAGUUUUUCUUGAUUGUUUACAUCUGUGAUUGUUUAUGUGAUGUAUAAACUGAUCAAGCUGUACAGUGUCAUGACAUAUAGUGGCAUAGCUUCCAUUUAUAUGCUUGCGCAUCAUUUUGUCAGAAGAAGAAAUUUCUAAAAUUAAGAUUUUUAACAUGUAUAUGAUUAUAUGUGUUUGUUUGAUUUUAGUAUAAUACCUGUAGAGAAUAUUUCAGUAAUAUGAAGUGCGACACAUUUAGACGCAUGCAUGUGGUGUUUGAAGGUCUCAUCUGAAAGACCAGCAACUUUCUCUUUUGAAUGCUAAAUAUGACGAUGGAGCAUUCACCUCACUACCUACAUUUACACCCUAAAUAUUAAAUAAAAUACAUUAGCAUGGCUCGAAACCAUGAUUUCUUCAUCAAGAAGCAAAUGCUCUGUUACCACUGAGCUACCAAUUUUUUAACAUGAAUUCAUAGCUAAAAAUUUUAAAAAUUUAUAACUAAUUUUUUGGUUAAUUCCAUAAAUAUUAUUCCUCUCUCUAGACACAAUUCUGGGUAACCCCCUGCCUUUGGGGAUAUAAGCACAUCAUUUCUUUCAGAAUGGGACAAUGUCAGGAGAGCUUUUGUUAUUUGUUAUACUCUUAGUGUUGAUGGCAUCUAUGAACAACAGGAUAAUGUUUUUAGAUUAUUAUUUCUGAUAUCAUAUUUGUAAAUUGUUUAUGAGGGGUUGUUAAAGUUUGUGGACAAAAGGACACACUUAUUAAAAAUUCAAAGUUAUGAUAAGUAAAAAAUAUAGGAGAUGUGUAACAAGAUUGUAGAUUUGAACAUUUUAAUUUUAAUUAAUUUUUAUAAGUAUUGAUUUCAGAUACAUGUAUGACAUUGCAUGCUUGAUCAGGGAGGGGGGCUACAGUUAGAUAAUAUUCUGGUCAGCACAUUCGAUAAACUACAGUUGUACAUGGAACUCAUUAAAUCACUUCUUUUUCUUUCAGUGGUAUUCAACUUUUAAUCUCCAAGAAGGAAAUGUAAUUAAAAGAUGAAUAAAGUAUCCCUAAGAAUACCAGAAGAAAGGCUGUGUUGAGAAAAAUAGCCCUUCCUAAGUACCUCAGAACUAGAUGAUAGCCCUUGUUACUUUAUGCUGAAUAUGACACAGUAUAGAAGAUCUGAUCAUGAAGAAGUUACACCAUUGAUACACUUGCCAACUGCCAAAACUACUUUCUGAUAGUAUGAUGAGAUUAGAAGAUAUCAUGGUGUAGUCAUGACACAAACUGCAAAUCAAAGAUUGUCUUCCCCAGAGGAUGAACAGAGUGCUUCACAUGGAUAACAUUUCUUUUAGAGUUUUGAAAUUAUCAAACAUAAUUUUGCAUCAAAGAGAAAAAGUGGCUUUGACAUAACCUAGAAAAUACAAUAUUCAUUAAAAAGAGCAUGGCACCAGGAUAGCUAGAUGCCCAUAUUCCCAGCAAAAUGAGC